RNAcentral lists this ribosomal RNA (340 nucleotides) under uncultured Bacillota bacterium. RNAcentral's name for it is "bacterial SSU rRNA". It matches the Rfam family "Bacterial small subunit ribosomal RNA", at positions 28 to 351 of the family's 1533-position model. Lineage: Bacteria; Bacillati; Bacillota. The record is from RNAcentral.
GAUGAACGCUGGCGGCGUGCUUAACACAUGCAAGUCGAACGAAGUAUUAAAACGGAAGUUUUCGGAUGGAAGUUUUGCUACUGAGUGGCGGACGGGUGAGUAACACGUGGAUAACCUGCCGUAUACAGGGGGAUAACAGUCAGAAAUGGCUGCUAAUACCGCAUAAGCGCACAGCUUCGCAUGGAGCAGUGUGAAAAACUCUGGUGGUAUACGAUGGAUCCGCGUCCGAUUAGCUAGUUGGUGAGGUAAUGGCUCACCAAGGCGACGAUCGGUAGCCGGCCUGAGAGGGUGAACGGCCACAUUGGGACUGAGACACGGCCCAAACUCCUACGGGAGGCAG